This 68-nucleotide transfer RNA is filed under the name Silvatares holzenthali. RNAcentral's name for it is "tRNA-Cys". The record is from RNAcentral. Lineage: Eukaryota; Metazoa; Arthropoda; Insecta; Trichoptera; Pisuliidae.
AGUUUUAUAUUUCUAUAUAAUAAGAUUUUAAAUUGCAAAUUUAAUGAAGUAAAUUUUUACUAAAACUU